Cicer arietinum (chickpea) is the source of this 1675-nucleotide non-coding RNA. The record is from RefSeq and is a predicted model, not a curated record. NCBI's taxonomy places the organism in Eukaryota, Viridiplantae, Streptophyta, Magnoliopsida, Fabales, Fabaceae.
CGCAAAAACUUUAGUAUUUCUCUUCAAAAAAUUCUAAAAUCUUUCAUCACUGCGCCCUUCCAAUUGUCCACCAAAAUCCAUUUUCAAUCUAAAUCCUCCUUGCACAAGCUCUCAACAAACUCUACUCACACAACAAUCUUCGUGUAACGCUCCUUGCGCAAACUCUUUCAUUCUCACGCAAAACAAUCUUCACUGUCUUCUCUCUCAAGAACCCACUUGACAUCGCUCGACCUGAAUGAAAAAGGGGAAAAACAUGAUUAGGGUUUCUGUGUCGAGUACAGUUUUCUCGUGAUUUUCCCCCUUUUCUCGCAACUCUACAUCGAUUAGGGUUUUGGCAUCUUGCGAGACUUGCAAAAGUUUUACCUCUUCGUGACUUGGUGAGCUUGGAGCGAUUCGUAAAAAGAAGACAACAUCUUGUGGAUCCCAAUUCUUCCACCUUGAAGGUAUGUUUGGUGUAGAUUUUUUUGUUUAGCAUUAGGAAUUGACUUGGUUGUCUUUUUUAUUAUUACUUGGUACUGCAUUCCUCUGUUAACUUAAGCAGUUAAGCUUUGUAACUUAUUUUUCUGCAACUAUAAUGGUGCAAGUUUUUGAAAUACUCUCAGGCUACUUACAUUCUCGUUCAUGUAAUAUUAACUGUUUAUGAAAUAUAAUAAUUUAUGAUAUUAUUUUUUUCACUCCUUGGUUCCCCACGGAUUGAAAACCGUUUUCCUUUUGAAUUUUUCAUCUGUUUGUUAAUUAUUAGUUGUCUAGGUCCUAUAUUACAUGAAACUAUUCUCUUUUUUAUUUAUUUAUAUUAUAUAGAGGGGUGGUUGUUGUUUUCUUAGGAUGAAAAGACUGGGAUUUGAAUUUGUUUAAAUAAAUAUUUGAUAAGGGUUAGAAACCGAGUAUUAAGUCUAAGAUGUUGUGUUAAGGGAAAAUGACAGGGAUACCCUAUUUUGACUUUCAUCAUUGUGCUGCUGUUUGUGCCUUUGUCGUCACAAAUUUGGAAAAAAGGUGAAGGGGAAGCCUGCAAAACUGUCAACAAUGCUUAUGUCUAAUUAAGCUUAUGUCUAAUUUGUUUUUUAUUCUUGUAAGAUUGAUUUUUGAUCAUACUGAAAUUUUGUUUCAUUAAUGGAAGAUGAAUGCAAUGUCCAUUUUGUGAUUUUUCAAAUACUUGUUACAAUGAGAGAUCUGAUGCUUACAUGCAUCAGUAACAGAAAACAAUGUGGAUGUAUACUUUGAAACUAAACAAUACAAAAAGGAACUCAAAGCAGCCGAUGCCAUUUUGAAAAAAAUUCCAGAUCAUGGAGAACCUUUAUCAAUGAAGGGCUUGACAUUAAAUUGCAUGGAUCGUAAAUCUAAAGCAUAUGAAGUGGUUUGCCAAGGAUUGAAGAGCAUCAAAAGCUAUUGAAAUUCUGGAAGCAUAUGAAGGGGCAUUAAAAGAUUAUCCUCCAGAAAGUGAACGGAUUGAGCAUGGGGAAAUGCUUUUAUAUAUAAGGUUGUUGCAUGGAGUUUUGUUCCUGGUAAGCAACUGGAGCAAAAGAAAAGAAAGAAGAUUGUCAAUCCUACUACACCUGUUGUAUUGUUUACCCGUUUUUGAAAUAUUUUAGUUUAUAUGAUCAUGUACAAUGUGUGUAUAUAUUAUACUCAUAUUUUCUAUAAAGUAAAGCCUUUGGUUUAUACAUUAUAAUUAAAA